Molecule: long non-coding RNA, 1892 nt
Organism: Aegilops tauschii subsp. strangulata
Lineage: Eukaryota; Viridiplantae; Streptophyta; Magnoliopsida; Poales; Poaceae
Source: RefSeq, a predicted model, not a curated record
AGCCUUGGAACAGGACGCAAUCGGAACCUGCCGCCGCCACGGUCAGCUGCAAUUUUCACGUCCUCCCCCGUCUCCCAGACAGAACGGGUGGCUGACGCUGGCUCCGCCGCGUGCUCUAUGGCCGUGACUUGCAGUUUUCCUCUCCGGGAAAAGUUCGUGGACACCUUGAAGCGUCUAGAUCCGGUCCCUCUAGCGGCGCUCCCGCGGCGCGAUGGCAGCAGUGCCCUGAGCCGGCUGACUCGAAUGCCGGCUCGGCAGCUCCUGGUGCGGGCAGCAUGUUGGCGGUGCUAGCACGGGCAGCCCGGAGAGCGACGGUCGUCGGGGACGGCAAUCUUCUCCGACACGGUCAACGCAGUCCACGCACCGGGUCAAUCCUGAGGCACCGGGCUGGACAAAAAGGCCAAUAUAGAUUGUUCUUGCCUGCAAAAUCAGGUUACAUCUAGGGAGUGCGCCGCUGGACAGAGCGUGUGUCCAUCUAGGAUGAGUACCUUAGAGCAGUCAAUUCACAAGUAUGCAGAGGAAUCAACGAAAAGUAUUCUUCAGUCUGAACAAGGACUUAGUUUGGACUCUCUUGAUGAGGCGUAUGACUUCUACAAUUUGUAUUAAUGGGAGAUUGGAUUCAGGAUAAGGUAUGACAAAAGCAGAUUGAACGCCGAGAGGACCAAAUCAAUGCAGGAGAUCGUUUGCGGCUGCUCGAUGCAUACAUAAAUCUGUUUAAGUAUUUGUACUCAGUGCAUAGAUAAAUCCAUUUAAGUAUUUGUGUGAAAAAUUAAAAAUAGUUGAAUUGUCCAUUUAAGUAUUUAUGUGAAAAAUUAAAAAUAGUUGAAUUGUCUUUGGCAGUAACACUGUUUCUUGGCUACGAAGAGAAGAGGUCAAUGAUUGGUGGUGUUGUGAUUGUGAGAACCAAUCUCUCAAUAGAGCAUCAUGCUAGCAAACGGAUCACAGUUCGAGUGUGAGGUCGGCAAUUGGAGCACAUGGGCAUGUUGAGUUGUCAUGUCCUAAGGGUGAUGGAUGUACUUUACCUUGAGGAGAUUCCUUGAAAAUACAUCGUGAAGGGGUGGACGAAGGGUGUGAGGGAUAUUCUGCCCGGACACCUCGUGCAGUACCAGAAAGACCAAUCGGUUAAUAAGUCUUUUACAUGCAGGCAUUCGACUCUUUACUUGAAAGCUAUGAACGUUGUUCGGAUGGGCGACGCGACCGUGGAAGCGUUCUAGCACAUGCCAGCUGGGCUGAAGGCAUUGUUGGUCAAUGGAGCGCCAUUCCUUGAGAUGAGGGAUGGUUUGCUUUGAGGACCGCCAGGGGAAUAUGCUAGCAGGACUGCUUGGUAAUGGAGAAGUUGCAUUCAUCGCAAAUGGGGUUGCAGACCAUGAAUGCAGUGCAGGCCUGUCUUUGAGUGUCAAUGCACUUGGAGGGUUAGCUUGGAGUCUCUAUGGAGAAGCAGAGAGGGGUCGGCAGGCCGAGGAACAGCCGGGAGAAAGCACUGUAUGAGGGACUGAGAUGAGGUUCGGCAGUAUAUGUUGCCGUGAACGUCACAAGAGAACGACUUUGCCCUGACCGGGAAAACCAGGGAGAUGCAAGAAUUGUGGAAUGGAAGGACACCGCCGGAACACGUGCACGCCCACUUGGUGGUCCACAGAAUCAAAUGUGGUAACUACUCCCUCUGUCUCAUAAUAUAAGAGCGUUUCUGACAUUAGUCUAGUGUCAAAAAUGUUCUUAUAUUAUGGGACGGAGGGAGUAGAUUUUAUUUUCUGUAUGUUGUAUUAUGAGGAUUUUCUGGUGUGUUUCAGUGAGCUUUGUUUCACGCUUGUUCCUCCAGUUCGGGAUGCGAGACUAAACUGUGACAUUGAGUGAACUUGGUUGCCUUUGAUGAUUAGUUUCUUGGGUGUGCUUGU